Molecule: ribosomal RNA, 541 nt
Filed under: Valencia letourneuxi
Lineage: Eukaryota; Metazoa; Chordata; Actinopteri; Cyprinodontiformes; Valenciidae
Description: partial 16S ribosomal RNA
Rfam family: Bacterial large subunit ribosomal RNA
Source: RNAcentral
CCUGUGACUAAAGUUUAACGGCCGCGGUAUCUUGACCGUGCAAAGGUAGCGCAAUCACUUGUCUUUUAAAUGAAGACCUGUAUGAACGGCAAAACGAGGGCUUAACUGUCUCUUUUCCCCAGUCAAUGAAAUUGAUCUUCCCGUGCAGAAGCGGGAAUGGACACAUAAGACGAGAAGACCCUAUGAAGCUUUAGACGCAACGGCAGCUCAUGUUAAACCCCCUCCGUCAAGAGAUAUAAACCAAUUGAGAACUGCCACGAUGUCUUUGGUUGGGGCGACCACGGGGAAAUAACUAACCCCCGGGUGGAAUCAGGACACAUUUUUCCUCUAACCCAAGAGCUACAGCUCUAAGAAUCAGUACAUCUGACCUCAAAGAUCCGGCACCGUCCGAUCAACGAACUGAGUUACCCUAGGGAUAACAGCGCAAUCCUCUUCUAGAGCCCAUAUCGACAAGAGGGUUUACGACCUCGAUGUUGGAUCAGGACAUCCUAAUGGUGCAGCCGCUAUUAAGGGUUUGUUUGUUCAACAAUUAAAGUCCUAC